AACGAACGCUGGCGGCAUGCCUAACACAUGCAAGUCGAACGAAGCCUUCGGGCUUAGUGGCGCACGGGUGCGUAACGCGUGGGAAUCUGCCCCUUGCUUCGGAAUAACAGUUAGAAAUGACUGCUAAUACCGGAUGAAGUCUUCGGACCAAAGAUUUAUCGGCAAGGGAUGAGCUCGCGUAGGAUUAGGUAGUUGGUGGGGUAAAGGCCUACCAAGCCGACGAUCCUUAGCUGGUCUGAGAGGAUGAUCAGCCACACUGGGACUGAGACACGGCCCAGACUCCUACGGGAGGCAGCAGUGGGGAAUAUUGGACAAUGGACGCAAGUCUGAUCCAGCAAUGCCGCGUGAGUGAUGAAGGCCUUAGGGUUGUAAAGCUCUUUUACCAGGGAUGAUAAUGACAGUACCUAGAGAAUAAGCGCCGGCUAACUCCGUG
This 433-nucleotide ribosomal RNA is filed under the name uncultured bacterium. Its description in RNAcentral is "partial 16S ribosomal RNA". It matches the Rfam family "Bacterial small subunit ribosomal RNA", at positions 29 to 507 of the family's 1533-position model. The record is from RNAcentral.